GGGCUGCAGUCAAGAAUCUUCCCCAAUGCCCGCAAGGGUGAGGGAGCGACGCCGCGUGAUUGAAGACGCCCUUCGGGGUGUAAAAAUCUUUUGCAAGGGACGAAUUUGUGACGGUACCUUGCGAAUAAGGGGUUGCUAACUCCGUGCCAGCAGCAGCGGUAAUACGGAGACCCCUAAGGUUAUCCGGAUUUAUUGGGCGUAAAGCGUCCGUAGGCGGCCUAAAAAGUCACUGGUUAAAUCCCGAUGCUCAACAUCGGGACCGCCAGCGAAACUCUUAGGCUAGAGGCCGGAAGAGGUAAGCGGAAUUGCCGGUGUAGCGGUAAAAUGCGUUAAUAUCGGCAAGAACACCAAAUGCAAAGGCAGCUUACUAGAACGGUCCUGACGCUGAGUGGACGAAAGCGUGGGUAGCGAAAGGGAUUAGAUACCCUUGUAGUC
RNAcentral lists this ribosomal RNA (435 nucleotides) under uncultured microorganism. RNAcentral's name for it is "bacterial SSU rRNA". It matches the Rfam family "Bacterial small subunit ribosomal RNA", at positions 346 to 795 of the family's 1533-position model. The record is from RNAcentral.